UAGGUGUCAUUAGCCAAGCACCAUUUUUAAUCAUUGGACUAAUAAUCGUCUCAACAAUACUAUUACUUAU
This 70-nucleotide small RNA is filed under the name Staphylococcus aureus. RNAcentral's name for it is "Transcript". The record is from RNAcentral. Lineage: Bacteria; Bacillati; Bacillota; Bacilli; Caryophanales; Staphylococcaceae.